ACAGUUGUGAGCAUAUUUGAAAUAUUUUUAAAAGUGGGCUUUUCUUCUCUCCCAGCCAGCUGCAUCUUUCAUGAAAAAACCCAUCUUUUCUUCUCUCCCCCUCUCCUCAUAUUCUUUCUUCUCAUCUUAUUUUAAAUUAUUUGAAGUCGAAAUAUCAUUAAAUGCUUACGAACUGCUCUAGAGCUGAUAUUUUUGGUUGACUAAAGAUAUUGAUAACAAUUUGGUCGUGCGAGAAGCAUCUUUUUGAGUAGUGCUUUAUUGUGUUUAGGGAACGAUGAGUAAUGCUAAUUCAAAGGAGGCCUCCUGUCAUGCUCAAUCAUAUUUUGUGGUGCAUUAAUUAUUAUGUAUAAAUUAUGAAUAUGAGUACUUUGUUUUGUUGUAUUAUGACAUUAA
This is a long non-coding RNA of Prunus dulcis (almond), 393 nucleotides long. RefSeq lists it as uncharacterized. The record is from RefSeq and is a predicted model, not a curated record. The transcript is spliced from 3 exons. Lineage: Eukaryota; Viridiplantae; Streptophyta; Magnoliopsida; Rosales; Rosaceae.